Molecule: long non-coding RNA, 329 nt
Filed under: Populus trichocarpa (black cottonwood)
Lineage: Eukaryota; Viridiplantae; Streptophyta; Magnoliopsida; Malpighiales; Salicaceae
Description: long non-coding RNA (PTRI_LNC000378)
Source: RNAcentral
CUUCUACGUAAAAUUGCAUCCAUAUCUCAUUCACCCUGUUGUCAAACUCAAAUGGAGAGUUGUACUGUGCAACAGUAUAGACGGUAGUGGAAUCAGGACGGCUUUUCUCAAUGGCAGCAGCCCAAAUGGUGUCAGCAAGACUAGCUUGCAAGGCAGCAGCUUCCUCUCCAACAUUUGAGUCAGUGACAAAUCCAUUGAAUUGCCUUACAGCUACAUAUGUCGGUUUCCAUCUCUGAACAUGGAGGCCUUUCGCUGGAGGUGGAUUAGCUUGGUUCUCUUUUGGGACAUAGAAACUGACAGUGAAUGAGGAUUCACAGAACGGUCCAUCA